GACGAAGGAUGCAAGCGUUAUCCGGAUUCAUUGGGUUUAAAGGGUGCGUAGGCGGACCUGUAAGUCAGUGGUGAAAUCUCUUUGCUUAACAAAGAAAACUGCCAUUGAUACUGCAAGUCUAGAGUAUAGAUGACGUUGGCGGAAUAUGACAUGUAGUGGUGAAAUACUUAGAUAUGUCAUAGAACACCGAUUGCGAAGGCAGCUAACGAAACUAUAACUGACGCUGAGGCACGAAAAGUGCGGGGGAUCAAAACAGG
This 257-nucleotide ribosomal RNA is filed under the name uncultured bacterium. Its description in RNAcentral is "partial 16S ribosomal RNA". It matches the Rfam family "Bacterial small subunit ribosomal RNA", at positions 524 to 776 of the family's 1533-position model. The record is from RNAcentral.